This 548-nucleotide ribosomal RNA is filed under the name Streptomyces sp. RNAcentral describes it as "bacterial SSU rRNA". It matches the Rfam family "Bacterial small subunit ribosomal RNA", at positions 307 to 865 of the family's 1533-position model. Lineage: Bacteria; Bacillati; Actinomycetota; Actinomycetes; Kitasatosporales; Streptomycetaceae. The record is from RNAcentral.
GCCACACUGGGACUGAGACACGGCCCAGACUCCUACGGGAGGCAGCAGUGGGGAAUAUUGCACAAUGGGCGAAAGCCUGAUGCAGCGACGCCGCGUGAGGGAUGACGGCCUUCGGGUUGUAAACCUCUUUCAGCAGGGAAGAAGCGCAAGUGACGGUACCUGCAGAAGAAGCGCCGGCUAACUACGUGCCAGCAGCCGCGGUAAUACGUAGGGCGCAAGCGUUGUCCGGAAUUAUUGGGCGUAAAGACCUCGUAGGCGGCUUGUCACGUCGGAUGUGAAAGCCCGGGGCUUAACCCCGGGUCUGCAUUCGAUACGGGCUAGCUAGAGUGUGGUAGGGGAUAUCGGAAUUCCUGGUGUAGCGGUGAAAUGCGCAGAUAUCAGGAGGAACACCGGUGGCGAAGGCGGAUCUCUGGGCCAUUACUGACGCUGAGGAGCGAAAGCGUGGGGAGCGAACAGGAUUAGAUACCCUGGUAGUCCACGCCGUAAACGUUGGGAACUAGGUGUUGGCGACAUUCCACGUCGUCGGUGCCGCAGCUAACGCAUUAAGA